RNAcentral lists this ribosomal RNA (497 nucleotides) under uncultured bacterium. Its description in RNAcentral is "partial 16S ribosomal RNA". It matches the Rfam family "Bacterial small subunit ribosomal RNA", at positions 28 to 507 of the family's 1533-position model. The record is from RNAcentral.
GUUGAACGCUGGCGGCGUGCCUAAUACAUGCAAGUCGAGCGAACAGACGAGGCGCUUGCUCCUCUGACGUUAGCGGCGGACGGGUUAGUAACACGUGGAUAACCUACCUAUAAGACUCGGAUAACUUCGGGAAACCGUAGCUAAUACCGGAUAAUAUAUUGAACCGCAUGGUUCAAUAGUGAAAGACGGUUUUGCUGUCACUUAUAGAUGGAUCCGCUCCGCAUUAGCUAGUUGGUAAGGUAACGGCUUACCAAGGCAAUGAUGCGUAGCCGACCUGAGAGGGUGAUCGGCCACACUGGAACUGAGACACGGCCCAGACUCCUACGGGAGGCAGCAGUAGGGAAUCUUGCGCAAUGGGCGAAAGCCUGACGGAGCAACGCCGCGUGAGUGAUGAAGGUCUUCGGAUCGUAAAACGCUGUUAUUAGGGAAGAACAAAUGUGUAAGUAACUAUGCACGUCUUGACGGUACCUAAUCAGAAAGCCACGGCUAACUACGUG